Molecule: ribosomal RNA, 2906 nt
Filed under: Campylobacter jejuni
Lineage: Bacteria; Pseudomonadati; Campylobacterota; Epsilonproteobacteria; Campylobacterales; Campylobacteraceae
Description: 23S ribosomal RNA
Rfam family: Bacterial large subunit ribosomal RNA
Source: RNAcentral
AGGUAAGCUACUAAGAGCGAAUGGUGGAUGCCUUGACUGGUAAAGGCGAUGAAGGACGUACUAGACUGCGAUAAGCUACGGGGAGCUGUCAAGAAGCUUUGAUCCGUAGAUUUCCGAAUGGGGCAACCCAAUGUAUAGAGAUAUACAUUACCUAUAUAGGAGCGAACGAGGGGAAUUGAAACAUCUUAGUACCCUCAGGAAAAGAAAUCAAUAGAGAUUGCGUCAGUAGCGGCGAGCGAAAGCGCAAGAGGGCAAACCCAGUGCUUGCACUGGGGGUUGUAGGACUGCAAUAUGCAAGAGGUAAGUUUAGCAGAACAUUCUGGAAAGUAUAACCAUAGAGGGUGAUAGUCCCGUAUGCGAAAAACAAACCUUAGCUAGCAGUAUCCUGAGUAGGGCGGGACACGAGGAAUCCUGUCUGAAUCCGGGUCGACCACGAUCCAACCCUAAAUACUAAUACCAGAUCGAUAGUGCACAAGUACCGUGAGGGAAAGGUGAAAAGAACUGAGGUGAUCAGAGUGAAAUAGAACCUGAAACCAUUUGCUUACAAUCAUUCAGAGCCCUAUGUAGCAAUACAGGGUGAUGGACUGCCUUUUGCAUAAUGAGCCUGCGAGUUGUGGUGUCUGGCAAGGUUAAGCAAACGCGAAGCCGUAGCGAAAGCGAGUCUGAAUAGGGCGCUUAGUCAGAUGCUGCAGACCCGAAACGAAGUGAUCUAUCCAUGAGCAAGUUGAAGCUAGUGUAAGAACUAGUGGAGGACUGAACCCAUAGGCGUUGAAAAGCCCCGGGAUGACUUGUGGAUAGGGGUGAAAGGCCAAUCAAACUUCGUGAUAGCUGGUUCUCUCCGAAAUAUAUUUAGGUAUAGCGUUGUGUCGUAAUAUAAGGGGGUAGAGCACUGAAUGGGCUAGGGCAUACACCAAUGUACCAAACCCUAUCAAACUCCGAAUACCUUAUAUGUAAUCACAGCAGUCAGGCGGCGAGUGAUAAAAUCCGUCGUCAAGAGGGAAACAACCCAGACUACCAGCUAAGGUCCCUAAGUCUUACUUAAGUGGAAAACGAUGUGAAGUUACUUAAACAACCAGGAGGUUGGCUUAGAAGCAGCCAUCCUUUAAAGAAAGCGUAAUAGCUCACUGGUCUAGUGAUUUUGCGCGGAAAAUAUAACGGGGCUAAAGUAAGUACCGAAGCUGUAGACUUAGUUUACUAAGUGGUAGGAGAGCGUUCUAUUUGCGUCGAAGGUAUACCGGUAAGGAGUGCUGGAGCGAAUAGAAGUGAGCAUGCAGGCAUGAGUAGCGAUAAUUAAUGUGAGAAUCAUUAACGCCGUAAACCCAAGGUUUCCUACGCGAUGCUCGUCAUCGUAGGGUUAGUCGGGUCCUAAGUCGAGUCCGAAAGGGGUAGACGAUGGCAAAUUGGUUAAUAUUCCAAUACCAACAUUAGUGUGCGAUGGAAGGACGCUUAGGGCUAAGGGGGCUAGCGGAUGGAAGUGCUAGUCUAAGGUCGUAGGAGGUUAUACAGGCAAAUCCGUAUAACAAUACUCCGAGAACUGAAAGGCUUUUUGAAGUCUUCGGAUGGAUAGAAGAACCCCUGAUGCCGUCGAGCCAAGAAAAGUUUCUAAGUUUAGCUAAUGUUGCCCGUACCGUAAACCGACACAGGUGGGUGGGAUGAGUAUUCUAAGGCGCGUGGAAGAACUCUCUUUAAGGAACUCUGCAAAAUAGCACCGUAUCUUCGGUAUAAGGUGUGGUUAGCUUUGUAUUAGGAUUUACUCCGAAAGCAAGGAAACUUACAACAAAGAGUCCCUCCCGACUGUUUACCAAAAACACAGCACUCUGCUAACUCGUAAGAGGAUGUAUAGGGUGUGACGCCUGCCCGGUGCUCGAAGGUUAAUUGAUGGGGUUAGCAUUAGCGAAGCUCUUGAUCGAAGCCCGAGUAAACGGCGGCCGUAACUAUAACGGUCCUAAGGUAGCGAAAUUCCUUGUCGGUUAAAUACCGACCUGCAUGAAUGGCGUAACGAGAUGGGAGCUGUCUCAAAGAGGGAUCCAGUGAAAUUGUAGUGGAGGUGAAAAUUCCUCCUACCCGCGGCAAGACGGAAAGACCCCGUGGACCUUUACUACAGCUUGACACUGCUACUUGGAUAAGAAUGUGCAGGAUAGGUGGGAGGCUUUGAGUAUAUGACGCCAGUUGUAUAUGAGCCAUUGUUGAGAUACCACUCUUUCUUAUUUGGGUAGCUAACCAGCUUGAGUUAUCCUCAAGUGGGACAAUGUCUGGUGGGUAGUUUGACUGGGGCGGUCGCCUCCCAAAUAAUAACGGAGGCUUACAAAGGUUGGCUCAGAACGGUUGGAAAUCGUUCGUAGAGUAUAAAGGUAUAAGCCAGCUUAACUGCAAGACAUACAAGUCAAGCAGAGACGAAAGUCGGUCUUAGUGAUCCGGUGGUUCUGUGUGGAAGGGCCAUCGCUCAAAGGAUAAAAGGUACCCCGGGGAUAACAGGCUGAUCUCCCCAAGAGCUCACAUCGACGGGGAGGUUUGGCACCUCGAUGUCGGCUCAUCGCAUCCUGGGGCUGGAGCAGGUCCCAAGGGUAUGGCUGUUCGCCAUUUAAAGCGGUACGCGAGCUGGGUUCAGAACGUCGUGAGACAGUUCGGUCCCUAUCUGCCGUGGGCGUAAGAAGAUUGAAGAGAUUUGACCCUAGUACGAGAGGACCGGGUUGAACAAACCACUGGUGUAGCUGUUGUUCUGCCAAGAGCAUCGCAGCGUAGCUAAGUUUGGAAAGGAUAAACGCUGAAAGCAUCUAAGCGUGAAGCCAACUCUAAGAUGAAUCUUCUCUAAGCUCUCUAGAAGACUACUAGUUUGAUAGGCUGGGUGUGUAAUGGAUGAAAGUCCUUUAGCUGACCAGUACUAAUAGAGCGUUUGGCUUAUCUUU